This 496-nucleotide ribosomal RNA is filed under the name uncultured bacterium. RNAcentral describes it as "partial 16S ribosomal RNA". It matches the Rfam family "Bacterial small subunit ribosomal RNA", at positions 29 to 507 of the family's 1533-position model. The record is from RNAcentral.
AUGAACGCUGGCGGCGUGCCUAAUACCUGCAAGUCGAGCGAACAGACGAGGAGCUUGCUCCUUUGACGUUAGCGGCGGCCGGGUGAGUAACACGUAGGUAACCUACCUAUAAGACUGGGAUAACUUCGGGAAACCGGAGCUAAUACCGGAUAAUAUUUCGAACCGCAUGGUUCGAUAGUGAAAGAUGGCUUUGCUAUCACUUAUAGAUGGACCUGCGCCGUAUUAGCUAGUUGGUAAGGUAACGGCUUACCAAGGCAACGAUACGUAGCCGACCUGAGAGGGUGAUAGGCCACACUGGAACUGAGACACGGUCCAGACUCCUACGGGAGGCAGCAGUAGGGAAUCUUCCGCAAUGGGCGAAAGCCUGACGGAGCAACGCCGCGUGAGUGAUGAAGGUCUUCGGAGCGUAAAACUCUGUUAUUAGGGAAGAACAAACGUGUAAGUAACUGUGCACGUCUUGACGGUACCUAAUCAGAAAGCCACGGCUAACUACGUG